RNAcentral lists this ribosomal RNA (254 nucleotides) under uncultured bacterium. Its description in RNAcentral is "partial 16S ribosomal RNA". It matches the Rfam family "Bacterial small subunit ribosomal RNA", at positions 524 to 776 of the family's 1533-position model. The record is from RNAcentral.
UACGUAGGGUGCAAGCGUUAAUCGGAAUUACUGGACGUAAAGCGUGCGCAGGCGGUGAUGUAAGACAGUUGUGAAAUCCCCGGGCUCAACCUGGGAACUGCAUCUGUGACUGCAUCGCUGGAGUGCGGCAGAGGGGGGAUGGAAUUCCGCGUGUAGCAGUGAAAUGCGUAGAUAUGCGGAGGAACACCGAUGGCGAAGGCAAUCCCCUGGGCCUGCACUGACGCUCAUGCACGAAAGCGUGGGGAGCAAACAGG